Oenanthe melanoleuca is the source of this 466-nucleotide long non-coding RNA. RefSeq lists it as uncharacterized. The transcript is spliced from 4 exons. NCBI's taxonomy places the organism in Eukaryota, Metazoa, Chordata, Aves, Passeriformes, Muscicapidae. The record is from RefSeq and is a predicted model, not a curated record.
GUGCCCAGCAGGAACCUUUUGCCCUGCUGGGUCAUCCCUUCCUCUUCCCUGCCCUCCAGGUUGGUUCUGUGCCAGCCCAGAGCUGGCAGCUCCAUCUGGGCCCUGCCAGGCUGGGUUCUACUGCACAGGAGGCUCCACAAUCCCAAACCCCAGGGAUGGAGAGCUGGGAGACAUCUGUCCCCAAGGCCACUUCUGUCCUGCAGGGAGUCACUCCCCAUCUCCAUGUCCCCCAGGCUCCUUCUUGCCUCAUCCUGGUGGGCACUCAGCACAGGACUGCCAGCCCUGCUCCCCAGGCUGGUUCUGCUCCCAGCACAGCCUGAGCUCCCCACAGGGUUUGUGUAGGGAAGGAUGGUUCUGCCCUGCAGGCUCUGUGUCAGACCAGCACUCAGAUCAUUUGUGUCCUGUGGGUCACUCCUGCCCCCCUGGCAGCCCAGAGCCUGUGCCCUGUACCCCUGGAGAAUACCAG